RNAcentral lists this ribosomal RNA (476 nucleotides) under Lasiococca comberi. RNAcentral describes it as "eukaryotic LSU rRNA". The stretch from base 5 to 160 matches the Rfam family "5.8S ribosomal RNA". The record is from RNAcentral. Lineage: Eukaryota; Viridiplantae; Streptophyta; Magnoliopsida; Malpighiales; Euphorbiaceae.
AAACGACUCUCGGCAACGGAUAUCUCGGCUCUCGCAUCGAUGAAGAACGCAGCAAAAUGCGAUACUUGGUGUGAAUUGCAGAAUCCCGUGAAUCAUCGAGUUUUUGAACGCAAGUUGCGCCCGAAGCCUUCUGGCCGAGGGCACGUCUGCCUGGGUGUCACGCAACCAUUGCCUCCAUCCCCUCAUCAAAAGGGUUGUGGAAGCGGAUAUUGGCCUCCCGUGCGGCUCCCUCCCGCGGUUGGCCUAAAAACUCGGUUCAUGGCUGCAUGGCCACGGCAAUCGGUGGCUGUAAGACCCUCUGACAUCGCCGUGCGCGCUUAGCUGUCCAUGAGAAACCAUUGAGACCCUGAUGCUGCCAUCCAAAUGCGACCCCAGGUCAGGCGGGACUACCCGCUGAGUUUAAGCAUAUCAAUAAGCGGAGGAAAAGAAACUUACCAGGAUUCCCUUAGUAACGGCGAGCGAACCGGGAAUAGCCC